Molecule: long non-coding RNA, 550 nt
Organism: Nothoprocta perdicaria
Lineage: Eukaryota; Metazoa; Chordata; Aves; Tinamiformes; Tinamidae
Exons: 2
Source: RefSeq, a predicted model, not a curated record
GAAAAGWUUUCUGGUGCGUGGCCUCUUGACUAGACAAGGCACAAGUUUGGUAUCCAUGCCAGAGUUGUUAUUACCAGUUGCUUAGGCAGUUGUCCAAAAGCAGAGUGUGAUUUCUUAGCAGUCAGUGAGUGGCUGUACUCUUUCACACGGUCAUUUUACUGCUGGAAUCAAGCUUUUUAGGUGUAAAACACUUAGAAAUGGAGUGAAUAUGGUGUGAAUGUUUUAGAAAGGAGAUAUCAAAACAGCUUCCUUUACAGUUCAAUUUGUUACCUAUUUUACAGUUACYGUUUACAAAAGCUGUUUCAAGUUCACAGCUCUGUUAGCUCUUCAGUGCAGUAGAAAAUGAAAAAAGGGAACAAGAUCUCUCUACAGUUGCUCUCCACCGUGUGAAUGAGUGAAUAGGAAGUAUUCUUCAGCCCUUUUCUCCUUCAGAAUUCUUUCUAUGAUGAAGAAAACAUUAAGAGUCAUCAACAGCAUCAGAAAACAYUAAGAGUCAUCAACAGCGUAGUGYCUGGAAGGGCAAGGUAGGUAGGUGCGUAAAAAGGUUCCU